This 919-nucleotide ribosomal RNA is filed under the name uncultured Planctomycetota bacterium. RNAcentral's name for it is "bacterial SSU rRNA". It matches the Rfam family "Bacterial small subunit ribosomal RNA", at positions 55 to 926 of the family's 1533-position model. Lineage: Bacteria; Pseudomonadati; Planctomycetota. The record is from RNAcentral.
AUGCAGUCGAGCGAGAACCAGUCCUUCACGGGGUGUUCCCAUUUCGGCGACCGUAGGUCGCCGGCUAUGUGAAUAUCGCGUGAAGGGCUGGGGACAGCGGCGAAAGGGAGAGUAACACGUAGUUACGUACCCCGAGGACCGGAAUAGCUGCGGGAAACUGCAGGUAAUGCCGGAUAAUGUCCUUGGACCAAAGGUGAGAUUCCACCUCGGGAGCGGACUGCGACGUACUAGCUAGUUGGUAGGGUAAUGGCCUACCAAGGCAAUGAUGCGUAGCGGGUGUGAGAGCAUGACCCGUCUCACUGGGACUGAGACACUGCCCAGACACCUACGGGUGGCUGCAGUCGAGAAUCUUCGGCAAUGAGCGCGAGCUUGACCGAGCGACGCCGCGUGCGGGAUGAAGGCCUUCGGGUUGUAAACCGCUUUCGGUUGGGAGGAAAUUGACUGGGGUUCUCCCCAGUUAUUGACCUAUCUUCGGAAGAAGGACGGGCUAAGUUCGUGCCAGCAGCCGCGGUAAUACGAACCGUCCAAACGUUAUUCGGAAUCAUUGGGCUUAAAGGGUAUGUAGGCGGCGCUGUUAGUCGGGUGUGAAAUCCCUCGGCUCAACCGAGGAAUUGCGCCCGAUACUGCAGUGCUUGAGGGAGACAGAGGUAAGCGGAACUGAUGGUGGAGCGGUGAAAUGCGUUGAUAUCAUCAGGAACACCGGUGGCGAAAGCGGCUUACUGGGGUCUCUUCUGACGCUGAAAUACGAAAGCUAGGGGAGCGAAGGGGAAUUAGAUACCCCCGUAGUCCUAGCUGUAAACGUUGAGCACUUGAUCGGGGAUCCCCUCAUAGGUUCUCGGUCGUACCGAAAGUGUCAAGUGCUCCCCCGGGGAAUAUGGUCCCAAGGCUGAAACUCAAAGGAAUUGACGGGGGCUCACAC